Non-coding RNA from Paramuricea clavata, 248 nucleotides. NCBI's taxonomy places the organism in Eukaryota, Metazoa, Cnidaria, Anthozoa, Malacalcyonacea, Plexauridae. The record is from the annotation of a GenBank genome assembly.
CCUUCAACAGGGGACGGUUGUUCAAAGGUGGAUUAGCGCUAAACCAGGUUUAAAAUUUAACCUGUUUUAGUUUGCAUAUUUCUGCAUGUUCAUUUAUUUCAAAAUGUCAGAAAAGAAAACUUCUGUUGAUCCAGACAUGGUUUGUGAAGAAAUAUUUCCAAAUUUAUGAACAAGCUGUUGGGAAGUUUCCUUUGAAUUUUAAGUUAACCUAGGGUUAAGCUAAUCGGCUUUUGAACAACCGGCCCCAG